This 439-nucleotide long non-coding RNA is filed under the name Brassica napus (rape). Its description in RNAcentral is "long non-coding RNA (BNAP_LNC012677)". The record is from RNAcentral. Lineage: Eukaryota; Viridiplantae; Streptophyta; Magnoliopsida; Brassicales; Brassicaceae.
UGAUUCGAAGAUUUUAAUUGUUGUUUCUGAUGUUUUUGAUUCGGUAUGUUUCGUUUUAAGAUUGAUGGAUGAAGAACAUUUUGUUUGAAUAAGUUUGUUUCAAUUAAGAACAAACUGUUUUAAGACAGAUGGAUCAGGAAUGGUUAAUGCUAUGUAAUAGAUUGCAGUAUAAUAGAUUGAUUACCCUUGAUUUGUUAGUUGUUUGGCUUCUUUGUAUGAAAUACUUUUUGUUUCUGUCUUUCUGUUUACAUAUAGCAAGAUCAAGGUUCAUCGACCAAAGGUUCAGAGCAAAAUUAAGGUUAGUGUUACUCUGUUUUUUGGUUGUGGAAACUAAUUGCUUUAAGUUCCGGUUUGAAUUGAAUCGAGUGUAAUAAAUGUGUUGGUUUGAGUUAGAAAAUGGUUGUGUGAUAAACAAAAUUGAUGGCUAGGUAGAAAAUGG